GCCUCCGUGGUGUAGUGGUCAGCACACUAGCUUCGUGUUCUAGAGGACCAUGGUUCGAGUCCCGGCGAGGGCA
This 73-nucleotide transfer RNA is filed under the name Stegodyphus mimosarum. It matches the Rfam family "tRNA". From Rfam's summary of the family: Transfer RNA (tRNA) molecules are approximately 80 nucleotides in length. The record is from Rfam by way of RNAcentral. Lineage: Eukaryota; Metazoa; Arthropoda; Arachnida; Araneae; Eresidae.